This 556-nucleotide ribosomal RNA is filed under the name uncultured Aspergillus. RNAcentral describes it as "SSU rRNA". It matches the Rfam family "Eukaryotic small subunit ribosomal RNA", at positions 194 to 755 of the family's 1831-position model. Lineage: Eukaryota; Fungi; Ascomycota; Eurotiomycetes; Eurotiales; Aspergillaceae. The record is from RNAcentral.
GGAAGGGGUGUAUUUAUUAGAUAAAAAACCAAUGCCCUUCGGGGCUCCUUGGUGAAUCAUAAUAACUUAACGAAUCGCAUGGCCUUGCGCCGGCGAUGGUUCAUUCAAAUUUCUGCCCUAUCAACUUUCGAUGGUAGGAUAGUGGCCUACCAUGGUGGCAACAGGUAACGGGGAAUUAGGGUUCGAUUCCGGAGAGGGAGCCUGAGAAACGGCUACCACAUCCAAGGAAGGCAGCAGGCGCGCAAAUUACCCAAUCCCGACACGGGGAGGUAGUGACAAUAAAUACUGAUACGGGGCUCUUUUGGGUCUCGUAAUUGGAAUGAGUACAAUCUAAAUCCCUUAACGAGGAACAAUUGGAGGGCAAGUCUGGUGCCAGCAGCCGCGGUAAUUCCAGCUCCAAUAGCGUAUAUUAAAGUUGUUGCAGUUAAAAAGCCCGUAGUUGAACCUUGGGUCUGGCUGGCCGGUCCGCCUCACCGCGAGUACUGGUCCGGCUGGACCUUUCCUUCUGGGGAAUCUCAUGGCCUUCACUGGCUGUGGGGGGAACCAGGACUUUUAC